Molecule: long non-coding RNA, 576 nt
Organism: Homo sapiens (human)
Lineage: Eukaryota; Metazoa; Chordata; Mammalia; Primates; Hominidae
Gene: PDZRN4-AS1
Product: PDZRN4 antisense RNA 1
Exons: 2
Source: RefSeq, a predicted model, not a curated record
AAAUAAAACAGACACGACUGGAUGUGAAACAGUCAUUUGGACCAUGAAGUGACCUUGGAAAAGGAAGCCAGGACUGGUGUCCAUAUAAGAAGAUAGCCCUGUGAAGACACAGACUCAGAGAGAAUUCUAAUAUGGAGAUGGAAACAAAAUCUGUAGUCAUGCUGCUCCAAGCUAAGGAAUACCUGGGGCUACCAGAAGCUCGAAGAAGCAGGAGAAGUUCCUCCCUAGAGGCUUCAGAGAACAUGACAUCUGACACAUUGAUUUCAGUUGGCUGACCUUCAAAGCGAUGAGGUGAAUUUCUGUUGUUUUAAGCCACCCAGAGACAGCCCUAAGAAAUUAAUGCACAUGCUAAUACUAGUUUUCUCUAAGUUUCAUUGAGAAUAUUGAAAAAUAUAUAUUUAAAUAUCUGGAUCUUAUUGAGAAUACAAAGAAGACUUUCAUACGUUGGUAUUUCUGAAUCUUCAUUUAUAAAGUGUUAAAUAACUUAUGCCCAAAAGAAAAAAUCGGUCAGAAAUUACCUCAUAUCAGUAAGUUCUAUAGUAAAGGAAUAAAUGCAUCUAAGAAUGACACAUGAAA